AAAAAAGCAGAGGCUCGUUGCCUUCAUGAGCGGGCCUCUCGUAAACAUCAGGGAAACCACUUACAUUGUUAUUGGGUGAACCUCUGUUAUUUUGGUGACAGAAGGUUCAGUAAAUGAUGGUACAUCA
Telopea speciosissima is the source of this 127-nucleotide small nucleolar RNA. RefSeq annotates it as small nucleolar RNA snoR74. The record is from RefSeq and is a predicted model, not a curated record. The transcript has a single exon. NCBI's taxonomy places the organism in Eukaryota, Viridiplantae, Streptophyta, Magnoliopsida, Proteales, Proteaceae.